Molecule: ribosomal RNA, 253 nt
Filed under: uncultured bacterium
Lineage: Bacteria
Description: partial 16S ribosomal RNA
Rfam family: Bacterial small subunit ribosomal RNA
Source: RNAcentral
UACAGAGGUCCCGAGCGUUGUUCGGAUUCACUGGGCGUAACGGGUGCGUCGGUGGUGAGGUAAGUCGGAUGUGAAAUCUCCGAGCUCAACUCGGAAAUGGCAUUGGAAACUACCUUGCUCGAGGGUUGGAGGGGGGACUGGAAUACUUGGUGUAGCAGUGAAAUGCGUAGAUAUCAAGUGGAACACCAGUGGCGAAGGCGAGUCCCUGGACAACUCCUGACACUGAGGCACGAAAGCUAGGGGAGCAAACAGG